RNAcentral lists this ribosomal RNA (253 nucleotides) under uncultured bacterium. RNAcentral's name for it is "partial 16S ribosomal RNA". It matches the Rfam family "Bacterial small subunit ribosomal RNA", at positions 524 to 776 of the family's 1533-position model. The record is from RNAcentral.
UACAGAGGUCCCAAGCGUUGUUCGGAUUCAUUGGGCGUAAAGGGUGCGUAGGCGGCGCGGUAAGUCGGGUGUGAAAUCUCGGAGCUUAACUCCGAAACUGCAUUCGAUACUGCCGUGCUUGAGGACUGGAGAGGAGACUGGAAUUUACGGUGUAGCGGUGAAAUGCGUAGAUAUCGUAAGGAAGACCAGUGGCGAAGGCGGGUCUCUGGACAGUUCCUGACGCUGAGGCACGAAGGCCAGGGGAACAAACGGG